UACAGAGGUCUCAAGCGUUGUUCGGAUUCAUUGGGCGUAAAGGGUGCGUAGGCGGCGCCGUAAGUCAGGUGUGAAAUUUCGGAGCUUAACUCCGAAACUGCAUUUGAUACUGCGGUGCUUGAGGACUGGAGAGGAGACUGGAAUUCACGGUGUAGCAGUGAAAUGCGUAGAUAUCGUGAGGAAGACCAGUGGCGAAGGCGGGUCUCUGGACAGUUCCUGACACUGAGGCACGAAGGCCAGGGGAGCAAACGGG
RNAcentral lists this ribosomal RNA (253 nucleotides) under uncultured bacterium. Its description in RNAcentral is "partial 16S ribosomal RNA". It matches the Rfam family "Bacterial small subunit ribosomal RNA", at positions 524 to 776 of the family's 1533-position model. The record is from RNAcentral.